RNAcentral lists this ribosomal RNA (432 nucleotides) under uncultured bacterium. RNAcentral describes it as "partial 16S ribosomal RNA". It matches the Rfam family "Bacterial small subunit ribosomal RNA", at positions 29 to 506 of the family's 1533-position model. The record is from RNAcentral.
AACGAACGCUGGCGGCAUGCCUAACACAUGCAAGUCGAACGAGACCUUCGGGUCUAGUGGCGCACGGGUGCGUAACGCGUGGGAACCUGCCCUUAGGUUCGGAAUAACUCCCCGAAAGGGGUGCUAAUACCGGAUAAUGUCUUCGGACCAAAGAUUUAUCGCCUUUGGAUGGGCCCGCGUUGGAUUAGCUAGUUGGUAGGGUAAAAGCCUACCAAGGCGACGAUCCAUAGCUGGUCUGAGAGGAUGAUCAGCCACACUGGGACUGAGACACGGCCCAGACUCCUACGGGAGGCAGCAGUGGGGAAUAUGGGACAAUGGGCGAAAGCCUGAUCCAGCAAGGCCGCGUGAGUGAUGAAGGCCUUAGGGUUGUAAAGCUCUUUUACCCGGGAUGAUAAUGACAGUACCGGGAGAAUAAGCGCCGGCUAACUCCGU